Molecule: long non-coding RNA, 935 nt
Organism: Chlorocebus sabaeus (green monkey)
Lineage: Eukaryota; Metazoa; Chordata; Mammalia; Primates; Cercopithecidae
Source: RefSeq, a predicted model, not a curated record
ACAAAGCCAGGAGAGGGCUUCCGUUUCCGGGCCCCGCCAGAACACCCGGGCAGGUAUCAGGGACAGGGCAGGAUUCCAGCUUCAGCCUGUCUACCUCUGAAGCUCUCCUGAUCAAUACACCAGAGAAGAUGAUGGAGCCCUCCUGCCGCUCUUGGGGAGAGUCGCGUCGCUGCUGUCAUCGAUGCCGUGCUGGACCUCGCAGCGAUAGAUGCCUGAGUCGUUGGGGCGCAGCUCGCUCAGCGCCAGGGAGACAUCAGUGAGCGACGCUGGGUACGCAGGCAGUGCCACGCGGAACCGGUAGGCCUCAUUCACCUUGACGCGAACUCCCCGCGCCACCAGCACCUCUGCCUCCCGGCCCCCGGACAGGAAAGUCCACUUGACCCGCGGAGAUCCCAGCACGGCCCGGCGGCUCGGCGGCGGCCGCAGAACAUCUGCUAAAGCUGCAGGAGCCUGGACCAGGACCAGGGCUGCCAGCAGGGGCAGGAGUAGCUGGGCCAUGCUGCAGGCUGACAGAAGGACAUGAGAAAGAAAGAUGGGGUUAGACUUCAAGAUGGACUUCCUCCGGCUCCCUACUACACCCAUGUGGGUUCACACAUAUCCUGGCUCCAGAAGUCCCCUACCUUCACAUCACCAGGGACUCUCUGUUUCUGAUCCCCAUCUUCCCACCAAGGGAUUCCUUCUCAGAACCAAGACCUGAGUCCUAGUCAACUCUCUGUGUGACCUAAGCCAGCUCCUUACCUUCUCUGGGCCUUUAUUUUCUUAUUUAUAAAAGAGCAUCAUCAUUACUACCUCAUGAGUUGUAAUGGAACCAUGUGCUUUGAGAGUGUUUUGUAUCUUAAAACUCCUGUACAAAUGUAUAGCACCAGGCACACAGUAGGAGCUCAGAAUAUAGCAUGAAUGCUGGGUGCUAUUAUACUCAGAAUUCUGUCUGCUCU